UACCCCCAAUCUUUUCUCUUAAAACUGUGCCUUCAACAUUUCCAUUUCCUCAUACCCAAAUAACUGAUACCGUCAUCUCAUAUUCUCAAAAUUGAUCGGACUACAAAUCACAUUCUCAAAGUUCAAAGUCGCACUCGAUUAGCGAUAAGCAAAUCUCAGUGUGACACCAAAAAUUGAAAAGGGAAGCAACCAGGUCACUCAAGAGGAUCAUCUCCUUAAAUCGAGAUAAGUGCUAAAAAUGAGUUACGUUAGGAGCAUACUCAAGGUCUACCGGCUCGUCAAAGGUUGAUAUGAAAAAAUUGGAGUCAAAAAGAAAAUACUUUUGUGCAAAGCGUGUCGACACAAAGAUUUCAAUUGCCUCUUUAUAUGAAGGCUCAUCGAGUAAACUGUUGUGAAUUAAUAUUUUUGUAGUCAGCAUUGGAGUUUAUUUAUAGUUAGCAUAGCUUGUUCUGAAGAUGUACAAGGGAAAACUUUAUAUUUUUGAGAACCACUAUUGAAUGGUGUUGUAAGAUUUUCAAAAAUAAUGUGUACGUGCGUCUUUUGUUUUAAUU
This is a long non-coding RNA of Nicotiana attenuata, 551 nucleotides long. RefSeq lists it as uncharacterized. The record is from RefSeq and is a predicted model, not a curated record. The transcript is spliced from 4 exons. NCBI's taxonomy places the organism in Eukaryota, Viridiplantae, Streptophyta, Magnoliopsida, Solanales, Solanaceae.